Molecule: long non-coding RNA, 354 nt
Organism: Talpa occidentalis (Iberian mole)
Lineage: Eukaryota; Metazoa; Chordata; Mammalia; Eulipotyphla; Talpidae
Exons: 3
Source: RefSeq, a predicted model, not a curated record
CAUCCUACUGAAUCUGAAUCUAAGCCUGGGUUCCAGGAAACUAUGUUGUUAUUAAGCAUCCAGAUGAUUUCUGUGCAUGUUGAAUUUUGAGUUGCUCUCCAGGAAAUCUGGCUCAGGUUAUUGUCUCGGCCACAUGUCAGUGCUGUUAGUGGUGGAUCUCUUACGUCAGCUAGAGCAACUGUAUAAAUCUGCUGACAAGAAGUUACAGAAAAUGGAAGCUGUAUAUAUUCAGGAAAUGAGGACAAUAGUUUGUUGGAUUACAGAGCAUAUUAAGGACCUCAUUUUAACUGAAUCAUCUUUGUAAGGCCCUAUCUCUGAAGACUGUCACCUUGUGAGUACACCCUCUUUGGCCUU